This 27-nucleotide non-coding RNA is filed under the name Mus musculus (house mouse). The record is from RNAcentral. Lineage: Eukaryota; Metazoa; Chordata; Mammalia; Rodentia; Muridae.
UACAGAGAAACCCUGUCUCUGUACAAA